RNAcentral lists this ribosomal RNA (710 nucleotides) under uncultured Bacteroidales bacterium. RNAcentral describes it as "bacterial SSU rRNA". It matches the Rfam family "Bacterial small subunit ribosomal RNA", at positions 49 to 748 of the family's 1533-position model. Lineage: Bacteria; Pseudomonadati; Bacteroidota; Bacteroidia; Bacteroidales. The record is from RNAcentral.
UAACACAUGCAAGUCGAGGGGCAGCAUGGUCUUAGCUUGCUAAGGCCGAUGGCGACCGGCGCACGGGUGAGUAACACGUAUCCAACCUGCCGUCUACUCUUGGACAGCCUUCUGAAAGGAAGAUUAAUACAAGAUGGCAUCAUGAGUCCGCAUGUUCACAUGAUUAAAGGUAUUCCGGUAGACGAUGGGGAUGCGUUCCAUUAGAUAGUAGGCGGGGUAACGGCCCACCUAGUCUUCGAUGGAUAGGGGUUCUGAGAGGAAGGUCCCCCACAUUGGAACUGAGACACGGUCCAAACUCCUACGGGAGGCAGCAGUGAGGAAUAUUGGUCAAUGGGCGAGAGCCUGAACCAGCCAAGUAGCGUGAAGGAUGACUGCCCUAUGGGUUGUAAACUUCUUUUAUAAAGGAAUAAAGUCGGGUAUGGAUACCCGUUUGCAUGUACUUUAUGAAUAAGGAUCGGCUAACUCCGUGCCAGCAGCCGCGGUAAUACGGAGGAUCCGAGCGUUAUCCGGAUUUAUUGGGUUUAAAGGGAGCGUAGAUGGAUGUUUAAGUCAGUUGUGAAAGUUUGCGGCUCAACCGUAAAAUUGCAGUUGAUACUGGAUAUCUUGAGUGCAGUUGAGGCAGGCGGAAUUCGUGGUGUAGCGGUGAAAUGCUUAGAUAUCACGAAGAACUCCGAUUGCGAAGGCAGCCUGCUAAGCUGCAACUGACAUUG